Molecule: ribosomal RNA, 557 nt
Filed under: uncultured bacterium
Lineage: Bacteria
Description: bacterial SSU rRNA
Rfam family: Bacterial small subunit ribosomal RNA
Source: RNAcentral
ACGGGUGAGUAACACGUGGGAAACUACCCUUUGGUGCGGAAUAACACAGAGAAAUUUGUGCUAAUACCGCAUGAGCUCUUCGGAGGAAAGAUUUAUCGCCAAAGGAUGUGCCCGCGUCCGAUUAGCUAGUUGGUGAGGUAAUGGCUCACCAAGGCGACGAUCGGUAGCUGGUCUGAGAGGAUGAUCAGCCACACUGGGACUGAGACACGGCCCAGACUCCUACGGGAGGCAGCAGUGGGGAAUAUUGGACAAUGGGCGCAAGCCUGAUCCAGUCAUGCCGCGUGAGUGAUGAAGGCCUUAGGGUUGUAAAGCUCUUUCGCCCGCGAGGAUAAUGACGGUAGCGGGAUAAGAAGCCCCGGCUAACUUCGUGCCAGCAGCCGCGGUAAUACGAAGGGGGCUAGCGUUGUUCGGAAUCACUGGGCGUAAAGCGCACGUAGGCGGACUUUUAAGUCAGAGGUGAAAGCCUGGAGCUCAACUUCAGAACUGCCUUUGAUACUGGAAGUCUUGAGUCCGGUAGAGGUGAGUGGAACUGCUAGUGUAGAGGUGAAAUUCGUAGA